CUAGGAUGAGUUGGCUGUUGCAAAAUCAUUGUAUUCACUUUCUGUUAAUAAUACAAUUGAACCAUCAAAUCAGCCUGUCGUUUGAGUUUUGCUCUAAGUAAAUCCUGCAGUAAAUCCAAAUGGCUAGGAGGCCACAGUAUAGCAGAGGUGCCCACGACGGUUCGGCAGCAGCACAAGGAGAGCCCACCGGCCGUGAAUUGGCCGUGAGCUUGGGUGCUCUGUCAGCGUCACUCACAACUUUCGACGCACGUUCAGCACCAAGAUUUUGGCUGAUGCAGAAGCAUACAGGCGUGUAAUUCCAGGUAUGAAGCUGUCGAUUCGUCACUAACAGGCCAACGGAGCCAGAAACGAGCCUGCAACAGCAACUAAUCCCCUUAUUUUGUGCACGCGGUGACUUGAUUAACAUUCUUAAUUCUGCCUGAUGCUUGCAGAUCGAUGUACAUGUCGGCAGCCAAUCCUGACUUCUGCAUAGGCCUCAGCCAUGGAAAGGAAUCCCUGCUUUAUGAAGUUUCAAAGGCAAGGCGAUCAUGACCUUCACUGAAUUAUGCUUUUAGCCACUGCACGUAGAGGCUAUCCACAUUCUGGGCACCUAAACUAUGAUUGUUAUGGAUCAUGUAUUUCUUCGUGGAUCAUGU
This 635-nucleotide long non-coding RNA is filed under the name Setaria italica (foxtail millet). Its description in RNAcentral is "long non-coding RNA (SITA_LNC004255)". The record is from RNAcentral. Lineage: Eukaryota; Viridiplantae; Streptophyta; Magnoliopsida; Poales; Poaceae.